GCCAGCAUGGCAUAGUGGUUUGAGUGUUGGACUACAACUCUGGAGACCAGGGUUCAAUUUCCGGUUCAGCCA
This 72-nucleotide transfer RNA is filed under the name Phrynosoma platyrhinos (Desert horned lizard). Its description in RNAcentral is "tRNA-OTHER". The record is from RNAcentral. Lineage: Eukaryota; Metazoa; Chordata; Lepidosauria; Squamata; Phrynosomatidae.